GCCUCUGUAGCUUAGUGGUAUAGCAUCAGAUUCGUAUUCAAAUGUAGAAGAAAUAUCUGAAGGUCGGGGGUUCAAUUCCCCCCAGAGGCUC
RNAcentral lists this transfer RNA (91 nucleotides) under subsurface metagenome. RNAcentral's name for it is "tRNA-Thr". It matches the Rfam family "tRNA". From Rfam's summary of the family: Transfer RNA (tRNA) molecules are approximately 80 nucleotides in length. The record is from RNAcentral.